Molecule: long non-coding RNA, 610 nt
Filed under: Pongo abelii (Sumatran orangutan)
Lineage: Eukaryota; Metazoa; Chordata; Mammalia; Primates; Hominidae
Description: lincRNA
Source: RNAcentral
UGAAUGAUAGAAUGAAGAGAUACCGACUUCCCUGGAGCCUCCAAACUUGAGUAGUCAGGCAUUGGGAUCCAUGGAAGGCUUGUUAAAUCCAAAUAGAUUGGUCCUACUCCAUCCUCAGAGUUGCUGACGAGGUGCAUCCAGGCCUUCUCCUCACCUCUCAGGGAGAUAUACCAUGCAGUGCCUUCAGUUAUGGUGUUGUGACUGAGGAUGCUUCGGUCAGACAUGUCCCUGAAAACCUGCAUAGAGCUGCACUUCAAGGGAAGUUAUUGAAUAUGUCCUAUCUAACUAAAACAAGGAAAUUAUGAAAAAAAUAAAAUCACUUUCCAGAGGCCUCAGGGCUAACUGGAGACAGAACUCAGACUGCAACUGAGAAAAGUUGGACUGCAAAAUCUGUACUCUGAGCUUUACUGCAUGAGAAAGUUAUUGAAAUGUGCCUUGUGACAUUCAGAAUAAGUGACUUUUCAGAGGUCUCAGAGUCAGUAAGAGACAGAACUCAGAUUGUAACCAAGAAGAGCUGAACUCCAAACUUCUGGUCAGGUCUGCUCAGCAACUCAGUAUGCUGACUUUAUUUCCUGAGAGAGAAACAGAGAGAAGAAAAGAAAGAGGAGGA